AAUCAUCGAACGUCUACAUGGCCAACAUCAGAACUUUAAAAUGUGAUUUUUUUCCCCCCCUUUUUUUAGUCUUCCAGGUACAACUCAUUCACUAUCCUCCACCCAACGCCAAACCAGCAGAGUGCUGUAGGUUAAAGUCGUUUGCAGUCGAAGUUGGAGUCUGGCAGUGUAGUCGAAAAAGGCCGAAAAUGCGCACACCGGAGAGAAAAAUUUGCCUGUCAGCCUAACUAGAGGGAUAAAACGUCCCCACUCUCAGCCAAAUCGAUAGCCGAGCAGCAACCGCAGUGGGCCGUACUGACAUGACGGACGGUGCUAGAAGUUUCCACCGGCUCGUUACUGGUUCCUCCGUGUUCAGUGUCAGCGGCGGCGGGAUUCGGUCCCCUCCGUCUUUUACCGGAUAAGCGACUGACCUGGCUGCCGGCAGGUCGGAGCUGCUGAGUCACACCAGCUAGAAGGCCAAGCUAAAGGCUAGCGGCUAACGGGCAGUCACCGGGGAUGUUCGGUUGUCUGGUCGCCGGCAGGUUGGUGCAGACGGACGCGGUGCAGGUCGCCUCGGACAAGUUCGUGUUCAACCUGCCGGACUACGAGAACGUGAACCACGUGGUGGUGUUCAUGCUGGGCACCGUGCCGUUCCCCGCCGGCAUGGGCGGCGCCGUCUACUUCUCCUUCCCGGACCCGGCCAGCGGCGGCCCGGUGUGGCAGCUGCUCGGCUUCAUCACCAACGACAAACCCAGCGCCAUCUUCAAGAUCUCCGGGCUGAAGUCCGGGGAGGGCGGGGCGCAUCCCUUCGGCACCAUGGCCUCCUCCUCGUCCCCCUCCGUGGCUCAGGUCGGCGUGUCGGUGGAGGCUCUGGAGCAGCUGGCCCAGCAGAUCCCGGUGUCCAGCGCCGCCGUGUCCACCGUGGACUCGUUCCUGCAGUUCACCCAGAAGAUGCUGGACAGUCUGUACAACUUCGCCUCCUCCUUCGCCGUGUCGCAGGCGCAGAUGACGCCGAACCCCGCCGAGACCUUCAUCCCCUCCAGCUGCCUCCUCAAGUGGUAUGAAAACUUCCAGAGGAGGCUGGCCCAGAACCCGAACUUCUGGAAAAACUGACCAGAGCAGAGGCAGUAAAGACUCAGCCCGCCGAGGACGGUUUCCACAGUGCCUACAGCUUCUAAUAAAAGUCUCUGCUAGUGUUCACCCAGCCCCGGUCUCCCUUCAUCUCUGACCCCUGACCCCUGACCCCUGACCCGAACCUGCCUCUCCGCCCUGCGAAGCUGCAUCCACGAGCUGCGGCUCCAUGAGCUGUAAUUAAUGGUUCAUAUCCCAGAUCAGUUAGGAGCCAGGGACGAGAACACCUUUGAUUCACCGGGGAGACGUCUCCAGUGGACUCGGUGGCCACUGAUCUACAGCAGGACGUCUGGACCAAAGUCCAGUUAUUAACUGAUCAUUAACAUUCACUUAAUAUGGUAGAAGCGGUUUUGUUUUUUGUUUUUUAAAUUUAUACGUAGUCUGUGUCCUGCUGGAGGAGGAUGUCCCACGACCUGGCAACCCAAAACCUAUUAAUGUCUUCUAACUGAUCGGUAAAGCAUCAGCAAAUGAUUUAUUAACCAUUAAUUAUGGCUCAUAAACCCUUUUUAUAAACGAUGCCUUGUCACAGAGUGGUAACCUUUUUUUUUUUUAAAAUAACAUUAAAUUCAUUUUUGACAAAGGAAGCAGCUCAAAAAAAAAAUCCUGACAAUCAAACGCACACACAACAAACAAAAAACAAAUCUUAACUUGCAAGCUUUUUUUGAGCUUUCAACCGCAUCUCAUGGUAUUCCUCAGCAGAUGGGGUUUACCCACAUCCCUCAAAGUUUAUUUGAAUUAAACAUUUUUCACUUACCUGCUUUUUCUGGGUUCACUUCAUAGUAAAAUCCCUCCACUGAGGAAGACCACAAGAUGAAGUUGAAGUCUCCAUUAAAAAAUACUUGCUCCAAGACCAUCUGUAAAUAUCGUCUUAUUGAUCGCGUCAAUACGUGGCAGCUGAGAACGAUCACGCUGAAUAAGAGCAUCUCACCACAUGAGAGGGAAGCAGCGGUCGACAAAACGACCUCACCGCAAAGUUCAUGAGCAUCUGCGGAGGAAGGCCACGCGGCAUGAUCGAAAUCUGAUGAACAGCCACUAAAUGGACUUUCAGCCGCUGUUUCCAAGGUCGGGGAUGGAGAUUUCAAGCUCAACUUAUAAGUCAAUAAAAUGCUCAGAAAAAUUUGAACGCGUACUAAUUCACGACGACUCCGUGUGCAGAGGAAGAUCGUGUGAUACUAUCGAAAGCUCCAGAACAGCUACUAAUAGGCCCAGAGGUGAAACUUCAUUGUUUUAGUUUAUACUGUGCUUAAAUUGAACCUCUUCCACAGUAA
RNA transcript from Xiphias gladius (swordfish), 2378 nucleotides. It is a transcript of the gene named heat shock protein nuclear import factor hikeshi, with no coding region annotated. The transcript is spliced from 2 exons. The record is from RefSeq and is a predicted model, not a curated record. NCBI's taxonomy places the organism in Eukaryota, Metazoa, Chordata, Actinopteri, Istiophoriformes, Xiphiidae.